GACGAACGCUGGCGGCGUGCUUAACACAUGCGAGUCGAACGCUGAAGCUCAGCUUUUGUUGGGUGGAUGAGUGGCGAACGGGUGAGUAACACGUGAGUAACCUGCCUCCUUCUUUGGGAUAACGCCCGGAAACGGGUGCUAAUACAGGAUAUACACUGGUCUUCGCAUGGGGGUAGGUGGAAAGGGUGUUUCUGGUGGGGGAUGGGCUCGCGGCCGAUCGGCUUGGUAGUGGGGUGACGGCCUACCAAGGCUUUGACGGGUAGCCGGCCUGAGAGGGUGACCGGUAACGUUGGGACUGACCACCGUCCCAGGGUGGUACGGGGGGGGGAAGUGGGGAAAAUUGCGCAAUGCGCGCCAGACUGAUGCCGCGGCGUCGAGUGAGGGCUGGGGGCCUUAGGGUUGUGAACCUCUUUAGCACAUGGUCGAGCCGGAACAGUGCUUGUGGUGACGGUAGUGGGUCAAGAAGCGCCGGCUAACUACGUG
Molecule: ribosomal RNA, 483 nt
Filed under: uncultured bacterium
Lineage: Bacteria
Description: partial 16S ribosomal RNA
Rfam family: Bacterial small subunit ribosomal RNA
Source: RNAcentral